AGAGUUUGAUCAUGGCUCAGGAUGAACGCUGGCGGCGUGCCUAAUACAUGCAAGUCGUGCGGAAAGGCCACUUCGGUGGUACUCGAGCGGCGGACGGCAGAGUAACGCGUAGGAACAUACCCCAAACUGGGGCAUAACUGCUCGAAAGAGCAGCUAAUACCGCAUGUGAUCUUCGGAUUAAAGCUUCGGCGGUUUGGGAAUGGCCUGCGUCCGAUUAGCUAGUUGGUGAGGUAAAUGCUCACCGAGGCUUCGAUCGGUAGCUGGUCUGAGAGGAUGAUCAGCCUGACUGGAACUGAGAACGGUCCAGACUCCUACGGGAGGCAGCAGUAGGGAAUUUUCCACAAUGGGCGAAAGCCUGAUGGAGCAACGCUGCGUGCAGGAUGAAUGCCUUCGGGUUGUAAACUGCUUUUAUUAGUGAAGAAUAUGACGGUAACUAAUGAAUAAGGGUCGGCUAACUACGUG
This 462-nucleotide ribosomal RNA is filed under the name uncultured bacterium. Its description in RNAcentral is "bacterial SSU rRNA". It matches the Rfam family "Bacterial small subunit ribosomal RNA", at positions 8 to 507 of the family's 1533-position model. The record is from RNAcentral.